GAUGGGAGCUUGCUCCCUGAGGUUAGCGGCGGACGGGUGAGUAACACGUGGGUAACCUGCCUGUAAGACUGGGAUAACUCCGGGAAACCGGGGCUAAUACCGGAUGCUUGAUUGAACCGCAUGGUUCAAUCAUAAAAGAUGGCUUCGGCUAUCACUUACAGAUGGACCCGCGGCGCAAUAACUAGUUGGUGAAGUAACGGCUCACCAAGGCGACCAAGCCUAACCCAACUGAAAAGGUGAUCGGCCACACUGGGACUGAAACACGGCCCAAACUCCUACGGGAAGCAGCAAUAAGGAAUCUUCCGCAAUGGACGAAAGUCUGACGGAACAACGCCCCGUGAGUGAUGAAGGUUUUCCGAACGUAAAACUCUGGUGUUAAGGAAAAACAAGUACCGUUCCAACAGGGCGGUACCUUGACGGUACCUAACCAGAAAGCCACGGCUAACUACCUGCCAACAACCGCGGUAAUACCUAAGUGGCAAGCGUUGUCCGGAAUUAUUGGGCGUAAAGCGCGCGCAGGCGGUUUCCUAAGUCUGAAGUGAAAACCCCCGGCUCAACCGGGGAAGGUCAUUGGAAACUGGGGAACUUGAAUGCAGAAAAAGAAAAUGGAAUUCCACGUGUAACGGUGAAAUGCCUAAAAAUGUGGAAGAACACCAGUGGCCAAAGCCACUCUCUGGUCUGUAACUGACGCUGAAGCGCCAAAGCCUGGGGAACGAACAGGAAUAAAUACCCUGGUAAUCCACGCCGUAAACGAUGAAUGCUAAGUGUUAGAAGGUUUCCGCCCUUUAGUGCUGCAGCAAACGCAUUAAGCACUCCGCCUGGGGAAUACGGUCGCAAGACUGAAACUCAAAGGAAUUGACGGGGGCCCGCACAAGCGGUGGAACAUGUGGUUUAAUUCGAAGCAACGCGAAAAACCUUACCAGGUCUUGACAUCCUCUGACACCCCUAAAAAUAGGGCUUCCCCUUCGGGGGCAAAAUGACAGGUGGUGCAUGGUUGUCCUCAGCUCCGGUCCUGAAAAUGUUGGGUUAAGUCCCGCAACGAAGCGCAACCCUUGAUCUUAGUUGCCAGCAUUCAGUUGGG
RNAcentral lists this ribosomal RNA (1081 nucleotides) under Bacillus sp. (in: firmicutes). RNAcentral's name for it is "bacterial SSU rRNA". It matches the Rfam family "Bacterial small subunit ribosomal RNA", at positions 71 to 1135 of the family's 1533-position model. Lineage: Bacteria; Bacillati; Bacillota; Bacilli; Caryophanales; Bacillaceae. The record is from RNAcentral.